RNAcentral lists this ribosomal RNA (859 nucleotides) under Kocuria sp. RNAcentral's name for it is "bacterial SSU rRNA". It matches the Rfam family "Bacterial small subunit ribosomal RNA", at positions 56 to 920 of the family's 1533-position model. Lineage: Bacteria; Bacillati; Actinomycetota; Actinomycetes; Micrococcales; Micrococcaceae. The record is from RNAcentral.
UGCAAGUCGAACGCUGAAGCUUGGUGCUUGCACUGGGUGGAUGAGUGGCGAACGGGUGAGUAAUACGUGAGUAACCUGCCCUUGACUCUGGGAUAAGCCUGGGAAACUGGGUCUAAUACUGGAUACGACAUGUCACCGCAUGGUGGUGUGUGGAAAGGGUUUUACUGGUUUUGGAUGGGCUCACGGCCUAUCAGCUUGUUGGUGGGGUAAUGGCUCACCAAGGCGACGACGGGUAGCCGGCCUGAGAGGGUGACCGGCCACACUGGGACUGAGACACGGCCCAGACUCCUACGGGAGGCAGCAGUGGGGAAUAUUGCACAAUGGGCGGAAGCCUGAUGCAGCGACGCCGCGUGAGGGAUGACGGCCUUCGGGUUGUAAACCUCUUUCAGCACGGAAGAAGCGAAAGUGACGGUACGUGCAGAAGAAGCGCCGGCUAACUACGUGCCAGCAGCCGCGGUAAUACGUAGGGCGCAAGCGUUGUCCGGAAUUAUUGGGCGUAAAGAGCUCGUAGGCGGUUUGUCGCGUCUGCUGUGAAAGCCCGGGGCUUAACCCCGGGUGUGCAGUGGGUACGGGCAGACUUGAGUGCAGUAGGGGAGACUGGAAUUCCUGGUGUAGCGGUGAAAUGCGCAGAUAUCAGGAGGAACACCGAUGGCGAAGGCAGGUCUCUGGGCUGUUACUGACGCUGAGGAGCGAAAGCAUGGGGAGCGAACAGGAUUAGAUACCCUGGUAGUCCAUGCCGUAAACGUUGGGCACUAGGUGUGGGGAACAUUCCACGUUUUCCGCGCCGUAGCUAACGCAUUAAGUGCCCCGCCUGGGGAGUACGGCCGCAAGGCUAAAACUCAAAGGAAUUGACGGGGGC